AUACGUAGGGGGCGAGCGUUGUCCGGAAUGAUUGGGCGUAAAGGGCGCGUAGGCGGCCCGGUAAGUCUGGAGUGAAAGUCCUGUUUUUAAGAUGGGAAUUGCUUUGGAUACUGUCGGGCUUGAGUGCAGGAGAGGUAAGUGGAAUUCCCAGUGUAGCAGUGAAAUGCGUAGAGAUUGGGAGGAACACCAGUGGCGAAGGCGACUUACUGGACUGUAACUGACGCUGAGGCGCGAAAGUGUGGGGAGCAAACAGGAUUAGAUACCCUGGUAGUCCACACUGUAAACGAUGAAUGCUAGGUGUAGGGGGUAUCGACCCCUUUUGUGCCGCAGUCAACACAAUAAGCAUUCCGCCUGGGGAGUACGGCCGCAAGGUUGAAACUCAAAUGAAUUGACGGGG
This 397-nucleotide ribosomal RNA is filed under the name uncultured bacterium. Its description in RNAcentral is "partial 16S ribosomal RNA". It matches the Rfam family "Bacterial small subunit ribosomal RNA", at positions 523 to 918 of the family's 1533-position model. The record is from RNAcentral.